Molecule: ribosomal RNA, 328 nt
Filed under: uncultured Chloroflexota bacterium
Lineage: Bacteria; Bacillati; Chloroflexota
Description: bacterial SSU rRNA
Rfam family: Bacterial small subunit ribosomal RNA
Source: RNAcentral
GAUAAACGCUGGCGGCGUGCCUAAUACAUGCAAGUCGAACGAAGAACUUGUAGCAAUACUUGUUCUUAGUGGCGAAUGGGUGAGUAACACGUUGGUGACCUGCCCCAAAGAGAGGGAUAACGCCGGGAAACUGGUGCUAAUACCUCAUGUGGUUGUGGAGAUUAGACGCUCUACAUCUAAAGGAGCAAUCCACUUUGGGGAGGGACCUGCGCCCCAUCAGCUAGUUGGUAGGGUAACGGCCUACCAAGGCGACGACGGGUAGGGGACCUGAGAGGGUCGGCCCCCCACACUGGCACUGAAACACGGGCCAGACACCUACGGGUGGCAG